GUCCUUGUAGCUCAUUUGGAUAGAGCGGCUCCCUUCUAAGGAGUAGGUAGCAGGUUCGAAUCCUGCCAAGGACA
Molecule: transfer RNA, 74 nt
Filed under: Candidatus Woesebacteria bacterium
Lineage: Bacteria; Candidatus Woeseibacteriota
Description: tRNA-Arg
Rfam family: tRNA
About the family: Transfer RNA (tRNA) molecules are approximately 80 nucleotides in length. Their secondary structure includes four short double-helical elements and three loops (D, anti-codon, and T loops).
Source: RNAcentral